Molecule: ribosomal RNA, 477 nt
Filed under: Photedes fluxa
Lineage: Eukaryota; Metazoa; Arthropoda; Insecta; Lepidoptera; Noctuidae
Description: partial 16S large subunit ribosomal RNA
Source: RNAcentral
UGUCUUUUUGAAAAUAAUAUAAAGUCUAAUCUGCCCACUGAUUUAAUAAUUGAAGGGCUGCAGUAUAUUGACUGUACAAAGGUAGCAUAAUCAUUAGUCAUUUAAUUGAUGACUUGUAUGAAAGAUUGGAUGAAAUAUGAACUGUCUCUUAAUUAAAUGUAGAAUUUAAUUUUUUAAUUAAAAAGUUAAAAUAAAUUAAAAAGACGAGAAGACCCUAUAGAGUUUUAUAAAUAAUUUAAUUGAGAUUAUUUAAUAAGUUAAAAUUAAAAUUAGGUUGUUUAUUUUGUUGGGGUGAUGGAAAAAUAAAUUUAACUUUUUUUAUAUUUAAAACAUUUAUAAAUGAUUAAAUGAUCCAAUAUUAUUGAUUAUAAGAAAAAAUUACCUUAGGGAUAACAGCGUAAUUUUUUUUUUUAGUUCAAAUAAGAAAAAGAGUUUGCGACCUCGAUGUUGGAUUAAGAUAAAAUUUAAAUGCAGAAG